GGGGUUGUGGCUCAGUGGUAGAGUGCUUGUCUAGCAUAUAUGAGACACUGGGUUAGAUCCGCAGCCCCA
This 69-nucleotide transfer RNA is filed under the name Marmota marmota marmota (Alpine marmot). It matches the Rfam family "tRNA". Rfam says of the family: Transfer RNA (tRNA) molecules are approximately 80 nucleotides in length. Their secondary structure includes four short double-helical elements and three loops (D, anti-codon, and T loops). Lineage: Eukaryota; Metazoa; Chordata; Mammalia; Rodentia; Sciuridae. RNAcentral also lists the same sequence under 1 other name. The record is from Rfam by way of RNAcentral.